This 72-nucleotide transfer RNA is filed under the name Bos taurus (domestic cattle). It matches the Rfam family "tRNA". From Rfam's summary of the family: Transfer RNA (tRNA) molecules are approximately 80 nucleotides in length. Their secondary structure includes four short double-helical elements and three loops (D, anti-codon, and T loops). Further hydrogen bonds mediate the characteristic L-shaped molecular structure. tRNAs have two regions of fundamental functional importance: the anti-codon, which is responsible for specific mRNA codon recognition, and the 3' end, to which the tRNAs corresponding amino acid is attached (by aminoacyl-tRNA synthetases). tRNAs cope with the degeneracy of the genetic code in two manners: having more than one tRNA (with a specific anti-codon) for a particular amino acid; and 'wobble' base-pairing, i.e. permitting non-standard base-pairing at the 3rd anti-codon position. RNAcentral also lists the same sequence under 4 other names. The record is from Rfam by way of RNAcentral. Lineage: Eukaryota; Metazoa; Chordata; Mammalia; Artiodactyla; Bovidae.
UCCCUGCUGGCUCAGCUGGCAGGGAAUCCACCUGCAAUGUGGAAGACCUGGGUUUGAUUCCUGGGUUGGGAA